ACUUGCGUUAUGCCUGACUUUUCGGAAGGGUUGUAUUUAUUAGAUAGCAAACCAAUAGUUCUCGGACUGUUGUGAUGAUUCAUAAUAAUUGAUCUGAGCAGACCCUAGGUCUGCUAAAUCAUUCAAGUUUCUGCCCUAUCACUUUGAUGGUUGUGUAUUUGACAACCAUGAGAAUUACGGGUACGCGGAAUUAGGGUUUGAUUUGCGGAGAGGGAGCCUGAGAAACGGCUACCACUUCUAAGGAAGGCAGCAGGCGCGCAAAUUACCCAAUCCCGAUUCGGGGAGGUAGUGACAAGAAAUAAUAACUUGGGGCUCACGCUUUCGAGAUUAAAAUGAGAACAAUCUAAAAAACUUAACGAGGAACAAUUGGAGGGCAAGUUCUGGUGCCAGCAGCCGCGGUAAUUCCAGCUCCAAUAGCGUAUAUUAAAGUUGUUGCAGUUAAAAAGCUCGUAGUCGAUCUUCUAAGUGUCAGUAUCUUUGUCCUUUGGGCGAUUUAUUGGCACUUAUCUGACCGAGAACUUUGUUCGGCCUUCACUGGUCGGCGAUGCAAAUCGGUCAUUUUACUGAGAAAAAAUUAGAGUGUUCAAAGCAGGCUCAACGCCUUGAAUACACAAGCUUGGAAUAAUAGAAUAUGACUUGAGUCUUUUUUGUUGGUUAUGAGACUUAAGUAAUGGUUAAUAGAAACAGUUGGGGGCAUUAGUAUCUAAUUGUCAGAGGUGAAAUUCUUGGAUUUAUUAGAGACUAACUUAUGCGAAAGCAUUUGCCAAAGAUGUUUUCAAUUGAUCAAGAACGAAAGUUAGGGGAUCAAAGACGAUCAGAUACCGUCCUAGUCCUAACUAUAAACGAUUCCGACUAUGGAUUGGGUGGGUUCAAGAGCUCAUUCAGCACAUUAUGAGAAAUCAUAAGUCUUUAGGUUCCGGGGGAAGUAUGGAUGCAAAUCUGAAACUUAAAGGAAUUGACGGAAGGGCACACAAGGAGUGGAGACUGCGGCUUAAUUUGACCCAACACGGGAAAACUUACGCGUGCAAGACUUGGGUAGGAUUGACAGAAAUGAGAGCUCUUUCUUGAUUCUAAGGGUGGUGGUGCAUGGCCGUUCUUAGUUGGUGGAGUGAUUUGUCUGGUUAAUUCCGUUAACGAACGAGACCUUACCCUGCUAAAUAGGAGCUUAAUGAACAAUUGAGUAUUCUUCUUAGAGGGACUAUGUGUGCAAGCACAUGGAAGUUUGAGGCAAUAACAGGUCUGUGAUGCCCCUAGAUGUAUGCGGCCGCACGUGUUCUACAAUGACACUAGCAACAAGUUUGUCCUGCUCCGAUAGGAGUUCGGGUAAUCUUCAUAGUUAGUGUCGUGCUUAGGAUUGUCUUUUGUAAUUAUAGGACAUGAAUUAGGAAUUCCUAGUAUAGGCACGUCAUCAUCGUGCCUAGAUUAUGUCCCUGCCCUUUGUACACACCGCCCGUCGCUCCUACCGAUUGAGAGAUUCAGUAAACCUCCUAGAGCGGUUCGAAUCUUCAAGGUUCUUGCUGCAAAGUUAAGUAAACUAUUAUCCCUACGGAAGGAUCAC
This 1558-nucleotide ribosomal RNA is filed under the name metagenome. RNAcentral's name for it is "SSU rRNA". It matches the Rfam family "Eukaryotic small subunit ribosomal RNA", at positions 169 to 1788 of the family's 1831-position model. The record is from RNAcentral.